GUUGAGGGCGGGGGAGGGGAGCUGGGAUGGGGGUGGGCUGCCGGGACCCCCUGCCCCCGCAGUCAGGACCUGCGAUCCACCCCGAGCCCGUGUGCGGACGCUGCCCCUUCCCGGCCUCCUCCGGCACCUUCCCGUCGGGCCGCCCCCAGCCUCCGGGCCCAAACUCCAGCUCCCGGUGCGGAUAGCGCGCUGUCCAAGACAACAGAUGCUCACCAAUCAUGUUCAUGCGGAAUGCCCAGCUCAGAACUGGCGUACAAGCGUCACGAGUGGAAACCAGUCCCUGCUGCCCCUAGAGCUGACAGUCCAGCGGGGAGACCGCUCAGCAAAGGGGGGCUUGCCGUGCAGUGAGAGGCAAACGACCAGGGGGAUGGAGGAAAGGCCAAGCACUCCCCCACAGGUGUGGACUCAGGAGAAUUGAUAGCAGGCGCUCUCACAAACAGGCGGGCGUGGAUGUUCCUGGUAUUGCCAUCACAGCCGCCCAAGAGCGGGACAGCCCUCAGGCUCUCCAGCGGGUACACGGUUUUAACAGCUGUGCUCCAUCCCCACAGCAGGAUGCCGCUCGGCCGUGGGAGGAAUGGAGCCCUGACACGACGUCCGACGAUGCUGUGAUGGGGGUGAGCUCAAGAACACGCUGAGAGAGGCCAGACGCAAAAGACCACCACCGUGUGAUUCCACACGUGUGAGACGUCUGGACAGGGAAUCUCGGAAACAGAGAGCAGACUGGUGGUUCCCAGGGGAUGUGGGGGAGGGGAGUGAGUGCUUGGCGGGCCAGGGGUGUCCUUUUGGGCAUGAAAAUGUUCUGGAACUAGAUAGUGGGGAUGGUUGCACAACAUUGUGAAUGUACUAAAUGCCACUGAAUUGUUCUCUUAAAAAUGGUUACAAUGGCAAAUUUUCUGUUCUGUGUAUUUUACCACAAUAAGAGUAAUAAUAAAGCCCUGAAAUCUCA
Molecule: long non-coding RNA, 946 nt
Organism: Diceros bicornis minor
Lineage: Eukaryota; Metazoa; Chordata; Mammalia; Perissodactyla; Rhinocerotidae
Exons: 3
Source: RefSeq, a predicted model, not a curated record